UUUUUUUGGUAAGCUGUGGAAUCCUUUCCUUAAACAGCAUCCUAAAGAAAAACCCACUGUGGAAAUAGUUAAGAGAUGAGUUUUAGGUAACCCCAAUUCCAUUCUGAAUGUAUGGAAUUUCUUCUGCUUCCCCAUUGGAAUUUCUAUAGGGCUCAUCAGACUGCUAAUAGAAAGCCACUGAUUAGUUCCUUCUUAAUAGAAAAUAUGACUGCAAUUUAAUGAGUCCUAUUGUACAAGGAAUAUGCAUAGUCAUAUCAUUUCUUAAUGGCCACACACUGUAAACACUGAACUUCAUUGGUGAGAGGAUAUGCCAACACUAUAGAAUAUCAUUCACUGUGAAACUUAAACCCAUAUGUUUAGAAAAUAAGAAAAGGAAAUCUGUAAUAUCCUGCUUUAUGCUACUAUUAUACAAUGAUUUAUGUUGGUUUUGUUAAAACUUGUGUAUAAUGAAUAUUUUUAUUGCUUUAAUUAAUACUAACUUUGGAAGAAGAAAAAUUGCCCAAGUGGCCUGUGUACAAUGCCAUCUACUAUC
This 532-nucleotide long non-coding RNA is filed under the name Marmota monax (woodchuck). The record is from RNAcentral. Lineage: Eukaryota; Metazoa; Chordata; Mammalia; Rodentia; Sciuridae.